This 247-nucleotide ribosomal RNA is filed under the name uncultured bacterium. RNAcentral's name for it is "partial 16S ribosomal RNA". It matches the Rfam family "Bacterial small subunit ribosomal RNA", at positions 524 to 769 of the family's 1533-position model. The record is from RNAcentral.
UACGUAGGUGGCGAGCGUUGUCCGGAUUUACUGGGCGUAAAGGGCGUGCAGGCGGUUUGUUAAGUGCAGGGUGAAAAGCUCCCGGCUCAACUGGGAGAGGUCCUUGCAUACUGGCGAACUCGAGGGAGGCAGAGGAAAGUGGAAUUCCCGGUGUAGUGGUGAUAUGCGUAGAUAUCGGGAGGAACACCUGUGGCGAAGGCGGCUUUCUGGGCCUUACCUGACGCUGAGACGCGAAAGUGUGGGGAGC